RNAcentral lists this ribosomal RNA (495 nucleotides) under uncultured bacterium. RNAcentral's name for it is "partial 16S ribosomal RNA". It matches the Rfam family "Bacterial small subunit ribosomal RNA", at positions 28 to 507 of the family's 1533-position model. The record is from RNAcentral.
GACGAACGCUGGCGGCGUGCCUAAUACAUGCAAGUAGAACGCUGAAGGAGGAGCUUGCUCUUCUGGAUGAGUUGCGAACGGGUGAGUAACGCGUAGGUAACCUGCCUGGUAGCGGGGGAUAACUAUUGGAAACGAUAGCUAAUACCGCAUAACAGUAGAUGUUGCAUGACAUUUGCUUAAAAGGUGCAAUUGCACCACUACCAGAUGGACCUGCGUUGGAUUAGCUAGUUGGUGGGGUAACGGCUCACCAAGGCGACGAUACAUAGCCGACCUGAGAGGGUGAUCGGCCACACUGGGACUGGGACACGGCCCAGACUCCUACGGGAGGCAGCAGUAGGGAAUCUUCGGCAAUGGACGGAAGUCUGACCGAGCAACGCCGCGUGAGUGAAGAAGGUUUUCGGAUCGUAAAGCUCUGUUGUAAGAGAAGAACGAGUGUGAGAGUGGAAAGUUCACACUGUGACGGUAUCUUACCAGAAAGGGACGGCUAACUACGUG